UAACACAUGCAAGUCGAACGGUAACAGACCGCUGGGAUCCCUUCGGGGUGACCUUGGUGCUGACGAGUGGCGGACGGGUGAGUAACACUUGGGAAUCUGCCCAGUAGUGGGGGACAACCCGGGGAAACCCGGGCUAAUACCGCAUACGCCCUACGGGGAAAGGGGGCCUCGUUCUUGAAAGCUCUCGCUAUUGGAUGAGCCCAAGUCGGAUUAGCUUGUUGGUGAGGUAAAAGCUCACCAAGGCGACGAUCCGUAGCUGGUCUGAGAGGACGAUCAGCCACACUGGGACUGAGACACGGCCCAGACUCCUACGGGAGGCAGCAGUGGGGAAUAUUGGACAAUGGGCGAAAGCCUGAUCCAGCAAUGCCGCGUGUGUGAAGAAGGCCUGCGGGUUGUAAAGCACUUUCAGUGGAGAAGAAAAGCCGGACGCUAAUACCGACCGGUCUUGACGUAACCUACAGAAGAAGCACCGGCUAACUCCGUG
RNAcentral lists this ribosomal RNA (484 nucleotides) under uncultured bacterium. RNAcentral's name for it is "bacterial SSU rRNA". It matches the Rfam family "Bacterial small subunit ribosomal RNA", at positions 49 to 507 of the family's 1533-position model. The record is from RNAcentral.